RNAcentral lists this ribosomal RNA (598 nucleotides) under uncultured bacterium. Its description in RNAcentral is "bacterial SSU rRNA". It matches the Rfam family "Bacterial small subunit ribosomal RNA", at positions 788 to 1381 of the family's 1533-position model. The record is from RNAcentral.
UGGUAGUNCACGCCGUAAACGAUGAGUGCUAAGUGUUGGUCUCAUAAGAGAUCAGUGCUGCAGCUAACGCAUUAAGCACUCCGCCUGGGGAGUACGACCGCAAGGUUGAAACUCAAAGGAAUUGACGGGGACCCGCACAAGCGGUGGAGCACGUGGUUUAAUUCGAAGCAACGCGAAGAACCUUACCAAGUCUUGACAUACUGUGAGGACACAAGAGAUUGUGUUGUUCUGACCUUUGGUUAGACACAGAUACAGGUGGUGCAUGGUUGUCGUCAGCUCGUGUCGUGAGAUGUUGGGUUAANNNNNNNANCGAGCGCAACCCUUAUAUCUAGUUGCCAGCAGUAAGAUGGGGACUCUAGAUAGACUGCCAGUGAUAAACUGGAGGAAGGUGGGGAUGACGUCAAAUCAUCAUGCCCCUUAUGACUUGGGCUACACACGUGCUACAAUGGAUAGGAACAAAGAGAAGCGAGCUCGCGAGAGUAAGCAAACCUCACAAAACUAUUCUCAGUUCGGAUUGUAGUCUGCAACUCGACUACAUGAAGCUGGAAUCGCUAGUAAUCGCGAAUCAGAAUGUCGCGGUGAAUACGUUCCCGGGUCU